AAUAUUGCGCAAUGGAGGGAACUCUGACGCAGCGACGCCGCGUGAGCGAUGAAGGUCCUCGGAUCGUAAAGCUCUGUCCUUGGGGAAGAAGGUCUUCGGACUUGACGGUACCUAUGGAGGAAGCCCCGGCUAACUACGUGCCAGCAGCCGCGGUAGUACUUAGGGGGCAAGCGUUGUCCGGAAUUAUUGGGCGUAAAGGGUGCGUAGGCGGCCUUUUAAGUCAGAUGUGAAAGACCACGGCUUAACCGUGGGGUUGCAUUUGAAACUGGAGGGCUUGAGUAUCGGAGAGGGUAGUGGAAUUCCCAGUGUAGCGGUGGAAUGCGUAGAUAUUGGGAGGAACACCAGUGGCGAAGGCGACUCUCUGGACUGCAACUGACGCUGAGGCACGAAAGCGUGGGGAGCGAACA
This 407-nucleotide ribosomal RNA is filed under the name uncultured bacterium. RNAcentral describes it as "partial 16S ribosomal RNA". It matches the Rfam family "Bacterial small subunit ribosomal RNA", at positions 360 to 774 of the family's 1533-position model. The record is from RNAcentral.